GCUCCCAUCGUCUAGUGGCCUAGGACACGUGGUUCUCAUCCACGAAACACCGGUUCGAUUCCGGUUGGGAGCA
Molecule: transfer RNA, 73 nt
Filed under: Parcubacteria group bacterium RIFCSPLOWO2_01_FULL_48_18
Lineage: Bacteria
Description: tRNA-Glu
Rfam family: tRNA
About the family: Transfer RNA (tRNA) molecules are approximately 80 nucleotides in length.
Source: RNAcentral